This is a long non-coding RNA of Arabidopsis thaliana (thale cress), 425 nucleotides long. RefSeq annotates it as other RNA. The transcript has a single exon. NCBI's taxonomy places the organism in Eukaryota, Viridiplantae, Streptophyta, Magnoliopsida, Brassicales, Brassicaceae. The record is from RefSeq.
AACGCCACCGUUUCCAGCAAACAUUUUAUUUUUGUCUCCGCCCAAAUAAAAACCCUACAUCCUCACGAAACGGCGGCUACCACCGUCGCUGUCCAUCAAUCGGAGUUAUAAACAGCAAUUGGGUCGACCCAGACCUUAGAAAUGAAGCUGGAACAGCGAUCAAGACGUACCGGACCUUCGACUGGGAGUCAAAAAGUAUAUUCCGGCGAGCUCCGGCGAGACGCAUAAUGAGGUUUCGAUGGUGAGGAUCAAUAUUAAAAAAAGUUGGUAAUGCAUCGCUUUUUUUUGGUGGGGGAAUAUAAAAGAUGGGAGGAUGUUCUUUGCAAUUUUAGCAUGGAGAGGCGUUGCUUGGUAGUAUUACUACUUUUUAUUCAGAAAUAUAAAAUGCAACCUUAAAAAGUCUUUGUCAACCAAAAACAAAUGGA